RNAcentral lists this ribosomal RNA (119 nucleotides) under Klebsiella aerogenes. RNAcentral describes it as "partial 23S ribosomal RNA". The stretch from base 1 to 101 matches the Rfam family "Bacterial large subunit ribosomal RNA", at positions 2825 to 2925 of the family's 2925-position model. Lineage: Bacteria; Pseudomonadati; Pseudomonadota; Gammaproteobacteria; Enterobacterales; Enterobacteriaceae. The record is from RNAcentral.
UCCUGAAGGAACGUUAAAGACGAUGACGUUGAUAGGUCGGGUGUGUAAGCGUAGCGAUACGUUGAGCUAACCGAUACUAAUGAACCGUGAGGCUUAACCUUACAACGCCGAAGGUGUUU